AGCAGCCGCGGUAAUUCCAGCUCCAAUAGCGUAUAUUAAAGUUGUUGCAGUUAAAAAGCUCGUAGUUGAAUUUCGGGGUCAGCAGGUUGGUCGUGCCAACGGUAUGUACUGGCUUUGCUGAUUCCUCCUUCUUGUAGAACUGUAAUGCCAUUAAUUUGGUGUUGCAGGGAAACAGGACUGUUACUUUGAAAAAAUUAGAGUGUUUAAAGCAGGCUUACGCUUGAAUACAUUAGCAUGGAAUAAUGAAAUAGGACGUUGAUCCUAUUUUGUUGGUUUCUAGGAUUGACGUAAUGAUUAAUAGGGAUAGUUGGGGGCAUUAGUAUUCAAUUGUCAGAGGUGAAAUUCUUGGAUUUAUUGAAGACUAACUACUGCGAAAGCAUUUGCCAAGGAUGUUUUCAUUAAUCAAGAACGAAAGCUAGGGAUCGAAGACGAUCAGAUACCGUGUAGUCUUAACCAUAAACCUAUGCCGACUAGGGAUCGGAUGAUGUUAUUUUUAANGUACUCAUUCGGCGCCUUACGG
Molecule: ribosomal RNA, 520 nt
Filed under: uncultured Glomus
Lineage: Eukaryota; Fungi; Glomeromycota; Glomeromycetes; Glomerales; Glomeraceae
Description: SSU rRNA
Rfam family: Eukaryotic small subunit ribosomal RNA
Source: RNAcentral